UGUGCGCCACCUGGCCUCACUUGAGUGUGAAACAGGAGCCCGCCCAACUAUUAAUAGUAUUUGUUCUUUACAAUUGUGCAAGGACAUUUUCAAGGGGGAGUUGAAUUUAGAGUUGAUUGUUGGCUUGUCUUGUCUUCUCCUCACUCCGUCUACGGACGUUUGUGGUGACUCCAGAAGUGUCCAGGAGAAGCAAACACGGCAAAGGGAACUCACUUUCUACCAAGAGCUGAUAUGAUACUUGUGGCUGUCACAACUGCUGUGUUUGAUUGACCACUUUGGAAAGUCAACUUGCUUUCUGCAUGACAAGUAUUCCACUACGGAUCUAAAGGAUCCUGGAGCGCCCUCUGCUGAUUGGCUUUUGCAACAUCAACAUCACGUUCAGAAGAUUGAAAGGUCAGUGACUGCAGAGCCUCGUCCGCCACUCUUCCAGCGAUAAUAAACCUGAAGAAGUGCAGUUUCUUUGUGAAAUGGAGGAUCAUUGACUUAGAGGAGAUGGUGUAUGAAGAGGGACAACUCUGAGGCAGCUCAUUCUUCCUGUCGGCAGACUGAGCAUUGAAAAUAGGAGUCCACAUCAGCUUGCUAACUAAACGUAGGCUGAAUACUCUCUUGUUCAGGCACUCUGAAGACGGUUGGGAGAAACUCCAGACCAUCCCAAAGUUCUUGCGUGGCUGUCUGUGAGUUUCACUCUUCAUCCAACCCUUUCUGUAACGGAAAGUAUCAGGACAGAAGACAAACUGCAGCUUGUCAACCAGAUCCUGGAGACGCACCACGUUCUUGCGGUCCUCCUCAGUCUGGAAUUUCAAAUAGUAGUUAAAAAAAAGAAGAAAACAACAGUCCAGUGCAAGACAAAAGUAAAGAUAGGAAAAGACAAAGCAAGAUCAACAACCAUAAAGAGCCUAAAUGGAUUCAUCUGCUUUGGAACUUUAUUAGACAUCUUGGAUUGUUUGUUAGCUGUCUGCCUGUGUGUGUAGUUAGUAUGUUCCAAUAGCAGCAGAAGUGCACUUUUUGGAGAGCUGUAUUAUUUUCAGUUUUGUGCCCAAGGGACUGAUUUUAUUUAACACUAUAUUAUUAUUUAUACACUUAUAGUGAUCACAGAGACAGCUUGUUUUUGUGUUACUGUAUAUAUUUGUUUUCCUGAAAAAUCCCACUUAAUAUACUUUGGGUAACAACAGUCAAUUUUUUUUAUUUUUUUUUAGGGGGGUAACAGUCAAUUUUUAUU
Entelurus aequoreus (snake pipefish) is the source of this 1219-nucleotide long non-coding RNA. RefSeq lists it as uncharacterized. The transcript has 6 exons. The record is from RefSeq and is a predicted model, not a curated record. Lineage: Eukaryota; Metazoa; Chordata; Actinopteri; Syngnathiformes; Syngnathidae.